This 543-nucleotide ribosomal RNA is filed under the name uncultured bacterium. RNAcentral's name for it is "partial 16S ribosomal RNA". It matches the Rfam family "Bacterial small subunit ribosomal RNA", at positions 355 to 889 of the family's 1533-position model. The record is from RNAcentral.
UGGGGAAUUUUGGACAAUGGGCGCAAGCCUGAUCCAGCCAUGCCGCGUGCGGGAAGAAGGCCUUCGGGUUGUAAACCGCUUUUGUCAGGGAAGAAAUCUUCUGAGUUAAUACCUCGGGAGGAUGACGGUACCUGAAGAAUAAGCACCGGCUAACUACGUGCCAGCAGCCGCGGUAAUACGUAGGGUGCAAGCGUUAAUCGGAAUUACUGGGCGUAAAGCGUGCGCAGGCGGUUUUGUAAGACAGAGGUGAAAUCCCCGGGCUCAACCUGGGAACUGCCUUUGUGACUGCAAGGCUUGAGUGCGGCAGAGGGGGAUGGAAUUCCGCGUGUAGCAGUGAAAUGCGUAGAUAUGCGGAGGAACACCGAUGGCGAAGGCAAUCCCCUGGGCCUGCACUGACGCUCAUGCACGAAAGCGUGGGGAGCAAACAGGAUUAGAUAGCCCUGGUAGUCCACGCCCUAAAACGAUGUCAACUGGUUGUUGGGAAGGUUCCUUCUCAGUAACGUAGCUAACGCGUGAAGUUGACCGCCUGGGGAGUACGGCCGC